GUCAGUUGGCUGCUGUGAGGAUGAAGAAGAAUCAGGGCCUGGAAAAGCUACCUACAAGAAACAUCAAGGAGGAAUCCCUCAGUACAUCAGGGGAACUGAAAGAAGAUUUUUCUUGGAAUAUCCCGUGGCAGCUGCUUCUCCAUUAAGUCUUGGACCACUGAACUUGUGUAGAAAUGGCAGCAGGAGAAGAAAACCCUGAAAAGUCCCAGAUACCCUGAUUUUCAGAGCAAAGUCCAGCUCUAGAUCCUGUUCCACCUCAUCUCCACCACCUCCAUCUUCCCAACAGCACAUCAGGCUCCGUAAGGUGAAUAAGGAUUGGUGGGGACACCUAGAAAUCUGCAGCAAGAUGUAGAGGAGGACCUGAUGGUCGAAAUAGGAAGAUGGAGUGAGAGAUGGAUGUCUUACAUCUGAGGAAUUUGGGAAGGAGCAGGAAGGAAGAGGAAAGAGAGUACAGGCAAAGUGUGGAGAAGAGGGAAAGACACACACUCAUCUGUGCCCCAGCUGCUAAGCCCCUCCUCAGCCGGUGAAAUCCCAAAUGAGCACUGAAUCUUUACUGUCUCAGGAACAGAGUAUAGAAGGUGAAGGAAAACACUGACUCAGACAGCACUGACAUGAAGGGAAAUCAACAGUUUUGGAAUUCAGCUUCUGCUGCUUAUUCAUGGACAGGCUGAGAGAUUCCAGGAAGAGAAGCACUGGAUAGACCAAAGGCUGUCAUGGUAACAAGGUUUGAUCCCAUGUUUGAGACUUUCCAGCUACUGCUCAGAUCACACAAAGGCUGGACAUGAUCAGGUAAGGAUUUUGCCUUGCCAACAUCCUUACCCUCACCCAUAACAGCCUUGCCCACCUUGCCUAUUAAUUAAUUAAGCAAAUAUAUUGACCCUAUAAACACGCCCAGAGCAUCCCCCAUUAACAUUCCCAUAUCAAUAAGCAACUGUAUCCAUGGCACAGAUAAAGAGGACAGAUGUUUUUCUAAUGCUGAUCACCUUCUAUAAAACCUUUUAAAUACCAUCUUUUCUAGGGCAUAAAGGUGUUUCUGCAGCACAAAACACACCACUGUCAGUGUCCUAACAUUUAUAACCUAUUUUCUCCACAUCAAAAUAUGUUAAGUGGGAUAUUUCAUACAGGAAGAGAGUGGUGCAGGGAGAGGAAUUUCAAACCCAGCUCUGGCUAAUUCUGGACAAGUUACCUCCACUGCCCUUACUUGAGCUUUUAGCAGUCACUGCAUUAUUCACUGUGAUCACCUCACUCCCUUCUCCAGAGUAAUUACCUCUGUUCCCUGGAACUUCCCAACAGCCACAAAAAUUCAAAUGGAAUCCAUUCUCUCAGCAUGGACUGUAACGAUGAGCUUCACCUCUGAGGAAGAUCAAAUGAAGAUAUCAACACUUGAGAGACUCAGCUAAAAGCAAGAGCAGUUGCACCAAUCAAUUAGAAAGCUCUCAGGUUGUGUGUGGGCUUGCCAGGCUACCACAGAAUAUUUAAAACUUUUGCAAUGCAAAAAUGUCAGCUGCUUGCUUUUAAUUGCUCUGGGUUUAGGCCCAACCGAGUACUGCAGGCAGCCUGCAGAGUGAGAAUGCCUUAAGUUCUGAUAUUCCUUUGAAUUCUUGGCAAAUAAUUUCAUCUUUCACCAUACAUAGAACAGAGGUAAAAAUAUCCACCCCUCAUCUUUCACGGAUUCUGCUUUUGCUAUGAGUUUUUUAAGUUUUAAUCUACACAAAGUUAACCAGAACAAAGUAUUUCUGUUUAUUGUAACACUGGAAGGAAGAAGUAACUGCAGAAUUGUGGACUUCACAUAAUACACCACAGGCCUCCUGGAAUGAGAUAAAAAGUGACAAAGUGCUCUGAAAUCUGCAAUGCAGAUCAAAAAUCAAGUAUUCUUUGCUUGUUCCAUCUGUGGACUAUGGGACUGCAGAAAAACAAGGUUACCACAUAAUGCUGCAUAGAUUUCUCCUUUACUGUGUGCUUUCCCCAAUCAGACAUGUUUAUUUCAUUGUCUUGUGGAUGUUGAUAAAAUUCUGAUGAUUUUAACAGAAAAAUAGAAGACAUAACAAUUUUUACUAUGCAUGUUUCAACUGCUGCUCCUGAGCUCUCUGUCUCCCUGUUGAAAAUGGUCAUAAAAUUUUAUCCUCCAGGUAGGGGAAAUAACAUCCUGAAAUUUAAUAUUAUGGAUGGCUACAUUAAUUUUCACUGUCAUCAUGUAAAAAAUAAUUCCUUUUUUAAAAAGUAGAUCUAGUGGGUGAAUUUCUGUAUUACUUACAUCAGAGAUUUGUAGCACAACAAGCUAUUUUACAGCAACCUAAAAAACCUGUAUUUUUUCUGCUUUUUACAUUUGGAUGUGAGAAGGUUUCAUAAGAAAUUAAAUAAAAGAAGACCAGUAAUCCAUCAAAACAAUGUGAGAGAACAGCAGCCACAUCUGAGUGAACUGGGCACUCACCCAAGCAGAAGUGACAAGCAUUUUAGGUGGCAACAGUGGCAUUGAAAUAGCAUUUCCCUCCUCUGAAAAGAAAGACUUUUAAAACCUCUAGGCAUAACAAGAGGAAAAAAAAUUGGUGAGCAUCCUGCAUAAAUAAAUGUGUAAAUUGAGUUUAUUUAUCCAUGAAGAAAAUGGAGAUCUGUGCAAAGUUUUAAAUUAACUCAAACAAGAGAAUAGAUACAUUUUUCUGGAGAGAAGACAGCAAAAAAUACUGAUCAUACUCCUAAAUCCUAGAACUGAGUUUACCCAGUGGUCACUGUAAGGACAGUUUCAGCAUAAUGAGAGUUUUGUUUUCUAAAAUAAUCAGAUACUGAUACAUACUUAUAUGUGUACAUUUUUAUACAUUUAUAGGUAUAGGUAUAUUUAAUAACUCUCAAUGAAUUUCUCAGAUAAGAAGUUCCCCAUCUUAGUCAGAAAUCUUGUCUUUAGCUGAUACAAAUUUCAAAGAGCUGAUGCCCACUGAGGUAUGGCUCCACGCUGAGGAUUCAUUUAAAGAUUUCACACCCACGUCCACAGGGAUGAACUCAGCAGCACUCUCCUUGAACAGAUUAACAGCAAAAUUGCAAAUACAUCUCACUUCUGAUAUUAACUCUUUCCCCUUUAUUUACACAGGAGGCUGUGAGUAAUAGUCUCCCACCUGCUGUGGAAUUACCUCAGGGAUACUUUCAAAGAAAGAGCAGGUUCUUAGGGGAAUGAUUAAUUUCCUGUAACUCUGGAUAUUGCAAAGUAGGCAUCUGCAGCUGAGCAGGCCUUAGGCUGCCUUUAAACUCAAUAAAUAAAAAAAACCUCAGGCUUGUUCAAAAAUACCAGGGCAGCCCUUUUGGUUCUGCCUGAGGGUCUACCUACUACAUCUUCCAGUCUCCAGCAGUGGAUAUUUAGGGAACAACACAGAGAUGGGAGAUAAAUGAGCACUCUCCCAGCUCCCAUGUUCAUCCCAGAGGAUUUCCUGAUACAGGACCAGGUUUCUCUGGCAUGGUAAUAACUCCCUGUGUGUUUCACAGUGACAGCAGGCAAGAGAUCAGCUUCUAAAUGCUUGGGGAUAUCUGCAAAAGGUGGAGAGUCCAGAGGGUGAGCAGGGAGCCUUGAAAUCAGGCUCCUGUUCUACAUCAGCGCAGCUGAGACCACCCAGCAUUUUAUACCCUUAGCAAUCUGUUUCUCAUUUGUGUCACCUCUUAGCUACUGGUAUGUGCAACUUGAAAUAUCUGCAUCCAUAAACAACCCUUUUGUCUGACCAUUUAUGCACAGCAGUAGCACGACAAAGAGAAUGAAUCUGCUACAAAAAAAGAUGCACAGGGCAUGAAGUGUUGAACAGUUCAAGUCCAAGUGGCUUACAUAAACCAUGUUAACAUUUUCCAUUAUC
Long non-coding RNA from Zonotrichia leucophrys gambelii, 3830 nucleotides. RefSeq lists it as uncharacterized. The record is from RefSeq and is a predicted model, not a curated record. NCBI's taxonomy places the organism in Eukaryota, Metazoa, Chordata, Aves, Passeriformes, Passerellidae. The transcript has 3 exons.